This 700-nucleotide long non-coding RNA is filed under the name Mus spicilegus (steppe mouse). RNAcentral describes it as "lncRNA (ENSMSIG00000029728.1)". Lineage: Eukaryota; Metazoa; Chordata; Mammalia; Rodentia; Muridae. The record is from RNAcentral.
AAGAGAAGGAUGAAGAUAGAACGGCGUGUGGAAUGCUCGCUCAGCUUGUUUCUUGAGCAUCACAUCAGCCGAGUGACAGACAUGGCCCCGAGACCUUCAAGGGAUUAAUCUCGGAAUGGACUAAAACUGGAUUCGUCUGAACCACACACAAGCCUGGCAUCAAAAAACAGGGCAAGCGAGGGGGAGUGAAAAAGAGGUCGUGAGAGAUUACAAAACCUAAAGCUUGUGGUAAUUCCACUUAUCUUCCUGUCUUCUUCCCGGGCCAUACCCAGAGAUCUAAACAACUCCUAACUUGACACCCCAGUUUUCUUGAGUUACAGACAGUUGCAUUCCUUAAAACCGGUGACAGUCAUGACGAGAAAGAAAAGCUUUUCAAGAGGAAGCAGCUGUCAAGGGUGACUAGACUGGAAAUUUUACUUCUCUUGACAGCGGUUUUGACUCUAAUGGAUUAACCUCCGGGAUUAUUGUUUGCCUACUUUUGUCUCUUGCUACCUCUCCCUUUGAAAGAAAUGUCUGGGACACCGUGAUGUUCUUUUGUCUGGAUUUGGUUGUCACAAUGGAAAGGGGAGUGCCACCGGUGUCAAGCAAGUGAAAGUCUUGAGUGAUUCUGAACACCUUACAGCGCCCAGUGGUGCUUCACCCCACGAAACAUGAUUCAGCACAGGAAGAUCACAUUUGAGAACUCCUGUGUUCCCCCUUC